GUCAGAUCGCGACCGGCCAAGUCCAGACGCAUGAUGGCGUGGGGGAGAGCGUAACCCUCAUAGACUGGGACAUUGUGGGUCACACCAUCACCGGCGUCCAGCACGAUACCUGCGGAGCGUCACAUACGUCAUGAGCGCCAGAACGCGGAUGUAUAAACGACUGUUUGCUAAAAUUGAAUUAAAUCGGAGAAUCGAAAUUUUGGACCGGUUUUAAACUAAGGAUGAUAUGAACGCACCAGUGGUACGGCCGGAGGCGUACAGGGACAGCACAGCCUGGAUGGCCACAUACAUUGCUGGGACGUUGAAGGUCUCAAACAUGAUCUGCAAGUGAAAACAAGCCAAGU
Molecule: long non-coding RNA, 344 nt
Organism: Triplophysa dalaica
Lineage: Eukaryota; Metazoa; Chordata; Actinopteri; Cypriniformes; Nemacheilidae
Exons: 3
Source: RefSeq, a predicted model, not a curated record